AUGAACGCUGGCGGCGUGCCUAAUACAUGCAAGUCGAGCGAACAGAUGAGGAGCUUGCUCCUCUGACGUUAGCGGCGGACGGGUGAGUAACACGUGGAUAACCUACCUAUAAGACUGGGAUAACUUCGGGAAACCGGAGCUAAUACCGGAUAAUAUAUUGAACCGCUUGGUUCAAUAGUGAAAGACGGUUUUGCUGUCACUUAUAGAUGGAUCCGCGCCGCAUUAGCUAGUUGGUAAGGUAACGGCUUACCAAGGCAACGAUGCGUAGCCGACCUGAGAGGGUGAUCGGCCACACUGGAACUGAGACACGGUCCAGACUCCUACGGGAGGCAGCAGUAGGGAAUCUUCCGCAAUGGGCGAAAGCCUGACGGAGCAACGCCGCGUGAGUGAUGAAGGUCUUCGGAUCGUAAAACUCUGUUAUUAGGGAAGAACAAAUGUGUAAGUAACUAUGCACGUCUUGACGGUACCUAAUCAGAAAGCCACGGCUAACUACGUG
RNAcentral lists this ribosomal RNA (496 nucleotides) under uncultured bacterium. RNAcentral's name for it is "partial 16S ribosomal RNA". It matches the Rfam family "Bacterial small subunit ribosomal RNA", at positions 29 to 507 of the family's 1533-position model. The record is from RNAcentral.